Molecule: long non-coding RNA, 306 nt
Filed under: Vicia faba (fava bean)
Lineage: Eukaryota; Viridiplantae; Streptophyta; Magnoliopsida; Fabales; Fabaceae
Source: RNAcentral
AUGGCCGACAACACCAGAAUGAAGGAGCUUGCAGCUGAGGUUAAACGCCAAGGCGAAGUUUUAGAGAAGAACGAACAGUCAAAUGCAGCUCGUUUUGCGAGAAUGGAGACGAUGCAGUUAUCACCGGAGUCACGCUUUGUGGAGUUGUCGAAAUCUAUGGAAAUGAUGCUGAAACAGAUGCAAGCUCUCAAUGUCACCCAUGGAAGCACGAACUCAGCGUCUCAGACAUCAACCAUAUCUCACUCAUCAUCGUCGGGACAUGCGGCUCCAACACCUCCAUUUCAUGUUCGCAACAUUAAGCUGUAA